RNAcentral lists this ribosomal RNA (755 nucleotides) under uncultured Sebacinales. RNAcentral describes it as "eukaryotic LSU rRNA". The stretch from base 176 to 755 matches the Rfam family "Eukaryotic large subunit ribosomal RNA", at positions 1 to 583 of the family's 3401-position model. Lineage: Eukaryota; Fungi; Basidiomycota; Agaricomycetes; Sebacinales. The record is from RNAcentral.
UGGACUUGGACCCUGCCGUGUCACAAUGGCUGGUCUGAAAUGCAUGAGUGCACCCUGCCAUAGCAGCGUCUUCAGUGUGAUAAGUAUCUUCACUGAUCCAAGUUUCCUCUGUGGAACACGCUUGUCUGGUGGGCUCUGGGCUUCUAACCGUCCCCAUGGACAACUCUUGACAAUUUGACCUCAAAUCGGGUGGGAUUACCCGCUGAACUUAAGCAUAUCAAUAAGCGGAGGAAAAGAAACUAACAAGGAUUCCCCUAGUAACGGCGAGUGAAGAGGGAAAAGCUCAAAUUUUGAAUCUGGUACCUUUGGUGCCCGAGUUGUAAUCUAGAGAAGUGUUUUCUGCCUUGGACCACGCAUAAAUUCCCUGGAAUGGGGUGUCAUAGAGGGUGAGAAUCCCGUUUGUGGUGUGGACUACCUCGGCUUUGUGAUACACUCUCAACGAGUCGAGUUGUUUGGGAAUGCAGCUCAAAAUGGGUGGUAAAUUCCAUCUAAAGCUAAAUAUUGGCGAGAGACCGAUAGCGAACAAGUACCGUGAGGGAAAGAUGAAAAGCACUUUGGAAAGAGAGUGAAACAGUACGUGAAAUUGUUGAAAGGGAAGCGCUUGAGGUCAGUCACAUCUGUCAGGACUCAGCCAGGCUUCUGCCUGGUGUACUUCCUGGCCGGUGGGUCAGCGUCAGUUUUGACCGAGGGAAAAAGGCUUGGGGAAUGUGGCUGUCUUCGGGCAGUGUUAUAGCCCCUUGUUGUAUGUCUCGGUU